AAAAAGCGGAGGAAAAGAAACCAACAGGGAUUGCCUCAGUAACGGCGAGUGAAGCGGCAAAAGCUCAAAUUUGAAAUCUAGCACCUUCGGUGUUUGAGUUGUAAUUUGAAGAUGGUAACCUUGGGUUUGGCUCUUGUCUAUGUUCCUUGGAACAGGACGUCAUAGAGGGUGAGAAUCCCGUCUGAUGAGAUGCCCAUUCCUAUGUAAGGUGCUAUCGAAGAGUCGAGUUGUUUGGGAAUGCAGCUCUAAGUGGGUGGUAAAUUCCAUCUAAAGCUAAAUAUUGGCGAGAGACCGAUAGCGAACAAGUACAGUGAUGGAAAGAUGAAAAGAACUUUGAAAAGAGAGUGAAAAAGUACGUGAAAUUGUUGAAAGGGAAGGGCAUUAGAUCAGACUUGGUGUUUUACGAUUAUCUUCUCUUCUUGAGUUGUGCACUCGUAUUUCACUGGGCCAGCAUCGAUUCGGAUGGCAAGAUAAUGGCAGUUGAAUGUGGCUUCACUUCGGUGGAGUGUUAUAGCUUCUGCUGAUAUUGCCUGUCUGGAUCGAGGGCUGCGUCUUUUGACUAGGAUGCUGGCGUAAUGAUCUAAUGCCGCCCGUCUUGA
This 599-nucleotide ribosomal RNA is filed under the name Hansenula anomala. RNAcentral's name for it is "Wickerhamomyces anomalus partial large subunit ribosomal RNA". It matches the Rfam family "Eukaryotic large subunit ribosomal RNA", at positions 45 to 657 of the family's 3401-position model. The record is from RNAcentral. Lineage: Eukaryota; Fungi; Ascomycota; Saccharomycetes; Phaffomycetales; Wickerhamomycetaceae.